UACGUAGGGUGCGAGCGUUAAUCGGAAUUACUGGGCGUAAAGCGUGCGCAGGCGGCGCGUUAAGACAGGUGUGAAAGCCCCGAGCUUAACUUGGGAAUUGCGCUUGUGACUGGCGUGCUGGAGUGUGGCAGAGGGAGGUGGAAUUCCACGUGUAGCAGUGAAAUGCGUAGAGAUGUGGAGGAACACCGAUGGCGAAGGCAGCCUCCUGGGCCUGCACUGACGCUCAUGCACGAAAGCGUGGGGAGCAAACAGG
RNAcentral lists this ribosomal RNA (253 nucleotides) under uncultured bacterium. Its description in RNAcentral is "partial 16S ribosomal RNA". It matches the Rfam family "Bacterial small subunit ribosomal RNA", at positions 524 to 776 of the family's 1533-position model. The record is from RNAcentral.